AUGAGUGCUACGGACGGGUUGAUGAGAGGAAUGGAAGUGAUUGACACGGGAGAUCCUCUCAGUGUUCCGGUCGGUGGAGCUACUCUCGGACGAAUUUUCAACAUUCUUGGGGAGCCUAUUGACAAUUUGGGUCCUGUAGAUAGUAGUGCAACGUUCCCCAUUCAUAGAUCUGCACCUGCCUUUAUCGAGUUAGAUACGAAAUUAUCCAUCUUUGAAACAGGACUAUUUGGGGGGGCUGGAGUAGGUAAAACAGUACUGAUCAUGGAAUUAAUCAAUGACAUUGCUAAAGCUCAUGGGGGCGUAUCCAUAUUCGGUGGAGUAGGGGAACGGACUCAUGAAGGAAAUGAUCUUUAUAUGGAAAUGAAGGAAUCCAGAGUAAUUAAUAAAAAAAUAUUGAGGAAUCAAAGGUAG
This 411-nucleotide ribosomal RNA is filed under the name Triticum aestivum (bread wheat). Its description in RNAcentral is "partial small subunit ribosomal RNA". Lineage: Eukaryota; Viridiplantae; Streptophyta; Magnoliopsida; Poales; Poaceae. The record is from RNAcentral.